AGAGUUUGAUCCUGGCUCAGGAUGAACGCUAGCGGCAGGCCUAACACAUGCAAGUCGAGGGGUAGAUGUCUUCGGAUAUCGAGACCGGCGCACGGGUGCGUAACGCGUAUGCAACCUGCCUUCCACAAAGGGAUAGCCCAGAGAAAUUUGGAUUAAUACCUUAUAGCAUUGCGGAAUGGCAUCAUUUCGUAAUUAAAGAUUUAUCGGUGGAAGAUGGGCAUGCGUCCCAUUAGCUUGUUGGUAAGGUAACGGCUUACCAAGGCAAUGAUGGGUAGGGGUCCUGAGAGGGAGAUCCCCCACACUGGUACUGAGACACGGACCAGACUCCUACGGGAGGCAGCAGUGAGGAAUAUUGGACAAUGGGCGCAAGCCUGAUCCAGCCAUGCCGCGUGCAGGAUGAAGCAUCUAUGGUGUGUAAACUGCUUUUAUACGGGAAGAAACCCCGCCUCGUGAGGCGGACUGACGGUACCGUAAGAAUAAGGACCGGCUAACUCCGUGCCAGCAGCCGCGGUAAUACGGAGGGUCCAAGCGUUAUCCGGAAUCAUUGGGUUUAAAGGGUCCGUAGGCGGCCUUGUAAGUCAGUGGUGAAAUCUCCCGGCUCAACCGGGAAAUGGCCAUUGACACUGCAGGGCUUGAAUUAUUGGGAAGUAACUAGAAUAUGUAGUGUAGCGGUGAAAUGCUUAGAUAUUACAUGGAAUACCGAUUGCGAAGGCAGGUUACUAUCAAUAUAUUGACGCUGAUGGACGAAAGCGUGGGUAGCGAACAGGAUUAGAUACCCUGGUAGUCCACGCCGUAAACGAUGGAUACUAGCUGUUCGGGGCAACCUGAGUGGCUAAGCGAAAGUGAUAAGUAUCCCACCUGGGGAGUACGUUCGCAAGAAUGAAACUCAAAGGAAUUGACGG
RNAcentral lists this ribosomal RNA (902 nucleotides) under uncultured bacterium. Its description in RNAcentral is "bacterial SSU rRNA". It matches the Rfam family "Bacterial small subunit ribosomal RNA", at positions 8 to 916 of the family's 1533-position model. The record is from RNAcentral.